GCUAGGUGUGAUGGCUCAUGCCUGUAAUCCCAGCUACUCGGGAGGCUGAGGCAGGAGAAUGGCUUGAACCUGGGAGGUGGAGGUUGCAGUGAGCCGAGAUCAAGCCACUGCACUCCAGCCUGGGUGACAGAGUGAGACUCUGUCUCUU
This is a non-coding RNA of Homo sapiens (human), 148 nucleotides long. It matches the Rfam family "Metazoan signal recognition particle RNA". Rfam says of the family: The signal recognition particle (SRP) is a universally conserved ribonucleoprotein. It is involved in the co-translational targeting of proteins to membranes. NCBI's taxonomy places the organism in Eukaryota, Metazoa, Chordata, Mammalia, Primates, Hominidae. The record is from Rfam.